Molecule: transfer RNA, 71 nt
Filed under: Penaeus japonicus
Lineage: Eukaryota; Metazoa; Arthropoda; Malacostraca; Decapoda; Penaeidae
Description: tRNA-Gly
Rfam family: tRNA
About the family: Transfer RNA (tRNA) molecules are approximately 80 nucleotides in length.
Source: RNAcentral
GUAUCGGUGGUUGAGUGGUAGAAUUCUCGCCUGCCACGCGGGAGGCCCGGGUUCGAUUCCCGGCCGAUACA